This 370-nucleotide transfer-messenger RNA is filed under the name uncultured Rhodoluna sp. Its description in RNAcentral is "transfer-messenger RNA, SsrA". It matches the Rfam family "transfer-messenger RNA". Rfam says of the family: Bacterial tmRNA, also known as 10Sa RNA or SsrA, is named for its dual tRNA and mRNA-like properties. Its role is to liberate the mRNA from a stalled ribosome. To accomplish this part of the tmRNA is used as a reading frame that ends in a translation stop signal. Lineage: Bacteria; Bacillati; Actinomycetota; Actinomycetes; Micrococcales; Microbacteriaceae. The record is from RNAcentral.
GGGGAUGAUCGGUUUCGACAGUGCUUUUGAGCCUGAAUGAAGCGGGUCGAGGAUGCAGAGUUAUCUCGUAAACGCUCUUUGCAAACUAUAGGUGCUAAAACUAAUCGCACCGACUUCGCCCUAGCUGCCUAGAGCAACUAGCCUGAAGUCCGUCAGUCCGGAGUUGAUCUCGUUCCGGGUCCUGGCGUUAUCUAGAGAUCUUGCUGCUUAGUUACGCCUUAGGGCUUCGCGGGACUUUCACUCAGGCUGGGUUUGUUGGUCGACUUGUUUCAGGGUAUGACCAGGACCGAGUAAAGCGAUACUGAAACUACACCCGUAGAAGAAUCAGAAUCUUUGUUCUGGACGGGGGUUCAAUUCCCCCCAUCUCCAC